CGAAAAUGUUAGUUUAAACCCUUCCCGUACUA
RNAcentral lists this transfer RNA (32 nucleotides) under Myodes glareolus (Bank vole). RNAcentral describes it as "partial tRNA-Met". The record is from RNAcentral. Lineage: Eukaryota; Metazoa; Chordata; Mammalia; Rodentia; Cricetidae.